GGGUGCAGGCCAGUUUUUCUCUCUCUCUCCUCUGCAGGGAUGGACGGGCAGGUGCACUACAUCUGAGGUGAUCACCACCCUUCUUAAGGAGCUGGAACCAGGAGGAGGGCGUCAGUUCGUUAACGUCACAGCGUUGAACCCUUGUUUCUGACCCCUGGACCCAGCCGUGAAUCAAAGACCUUGGACCCUCCGCCUGAGAUACAACCAAGAACCCGAGAAGGAUCUCGGGUUAACCACCGUUCAGCCCUCCUACCUGCGAUCGCCUGCCUGUCCACCCUCGAACCUCCAACCAGGAAGAGAGUACUGGUCAGCACACGGACCACCGGGGACACUUCCCCCCCAAGACCGGACCACAGCCUCUCUACUAAGCCCAGAAGAACCUGACCUGACCAAACUGCCUUCCAGUUCAUGUCCACUGCCUAGUUUCUAAAUAAAAUCUCUUAACCAUCUUCAGUCUCUGUAGUUGCUCUCAUCCAGAGUCACCUUCAUUAUGACAGAACGAACUGAC
Cyprinodon tularosa is the source of this 508-nucleotide long non-coding RNA. RefSeq lists it as uncharacterized. The transcript is spliced from 3 exons. Lineage: Eukaryota; Metazoa; Chordata; Actinopteri; Cyprinodontiformes; Cyprinodontidae. The record is from RefSeq and is a predicted model, not a curated record.